UACGUAGGGUGCAAGCGUUAAUCGGAAUUACUGGGCGUAAAGCGUGCGCAGGCGGUUUUGUAAGUCUGUCGUGAAAGCCCCGGGCUUAACCUGGGAAUUGCGAUGGAGACUGCAAGGCUUGAAUCUGGCAGAGGGGGGUAGAAUUCCACGUGUAGCAGUGAAAUGCGUAGAGAUGUGGAGGAACACCGAUGGCGAAGGCAGCCCCCUGGGUCAAGAUUGACGCUCAGGCACGAAAGCGUGGGGAGCAAACAGG
RNAcentral lists this ribosomal RNA (253 nucleotides) under uncultured bacterium. RNAcentral describes it as "partial 16S ribosomal RNA". It matches the Rfam family "Bacterial small subunit ribosomal RNA", at positions 524 to 776 of the family's 1533-position model. The record is from RNAcentral.